CCUACGGGAGGCAGCAGUGGGGAAUAUUGCACAAUGGGGGAAACCCUGAUGCAGCGACGCCGCGUGGGCGAAGAAGUAUUUCGGUAUGUAAAGCCCUAUCAGCAGGGAAGAAGAAAUGACGGUACCUGAGUAAGAAGCACCGGCUAAAUACGUGCCAGCAGCCGCGGUAAUACGUAUGGUGCAAGCGUUAUCCGGAUUUACUGGGUGUAAAGGGAGCGCAGGCGGCACGGCAAGCCUGAUGUGAAAGCCCGGGGCCCAACCGCGGGACUGCAUUGGGAACUACCGGGCUGGAGUGCCGGAGAGGUAGGCGGAAUUCCUAGUGUAGCGGUGAAAUGCGUAGAUAUUAGGAGGAACACCAGUGGCGAAGGCGGCCUACUGGACGGUGACUGACGCUGAGGCUCGAAAGCGUGGGGAGCAAACAGGAUUAGAUACCCGAGUAGUC
Molecule: ribosomal RNA, 442 nt
Filed under: uncultured bacterium
Lineage: Bacteria
Description: partial 16S ribosomal RNA
Rfam family: Bacterial small subunit ribosomal RNA
Source: RNAcentral